This is a long non-coding RNA of Betta splendens (Siamese fighting fish), 2393 nucleotides long. RefSeq lists it as uncharacterized. The record is from RefSeq and is a predicted model, not a curated record. The transcript is spliced from 2 exons. Lineage: Eukaryota; Metazoa; Chordata; Actinopteri; Anabantiformes; Osphronemidae.
GCAUCGUGCGCCGCUGCUCUGCCGUGAUCAGGGAAAAACCGUGGGCGGCAGGCACGCUAGAAAAUAACGGCGCACGUGUGUGCUGUUCUUUUUACAGGGUCUCCUCUUUUACCCGGAACAGAGGGAUGGAGAGGAGACAAGGGGUGCUUUUUGUCUAUUGACAUUUGGAAGCCUCUCAUCCUGAGUUUCAGCGCACUCUGAGCUGGAGUCCAUGCUGGUUUUGAGUCUCUUGGUGGUUUUGGGCCUGAGGCAGCGGCCGAUGUUUCCGACGUGCACAGCUAUGGAGGAGGUACAGGCUGCUUGGUGAAAUCUGACCUCCUGUAUUCGUCCUGAUUCCGCUGACUGCUAACACUGAACACGGAUCCAUUUCAACAAGUCCUUUCCAGGAUCACUGUCCAACCUGAGAGCAUCAUUGAAAAGAACCGCUAGGCCUUUUGGUUGUCAGUGGAUCCAGACCAGCAGAACCUGCCUCUCUGAAGAAGGUACCUGGAUAAAGUUGUAUUUACGUUGAAUGAAAGUAAAGACCCUGCCGAGACCGAGGUCUGGAUCUGAGCUACACAUCCAAAACCUCCACGGAGCCGGAGGUGUGUGUUAACCUCUGAGCAUCGGCAGAAUAAUGCGUCUUUAACGGGCCUCAGUGAAGAGGAGGUGGGAGACCACACUGGCAAACCGGAGCAGAGACUAAUCAAGAAUCUGACUGCUUUAAAUCUGUUUAAUGAAAAUAAUAAAACACAAUUACUCUGGAAACCCUGAAACCCAAUGUAAAGCCAUGGUUGACAAUGUGAGGGCCUGAACCUGUGGCUGCAGCGUCACUAAGCUGAUCCGAACAACGGCCUCAUCCUCUGGAAUGACGCUGAUGGUUUGGGGUUGGGCUGGACCGGCCCGGGCUGGUCCGGGCCCGACCCGUCUGUCCCACAGUCACGUCCGGCCUCCAACAUCUGUCCUGUCUGCUACCAGUCAGACUGUGAGACACUGAGGGCGGAGUUCUGCUGCUGUCACAGUUGGUUACCGCUCCGUCUCCCUCGAGCUGCACAAACGCCGUCCCACUUGGACUUUUACUGUUUCCAUGGUGAAACUGCAAGUUAGCUGCCGGAGGAGCCCGAGACCGAUGGCAGCAGAGAUCAGCGCUGCGCCCACUCUGUUGACGGCCCAGAGGGACACGUGAAAGAGGAGCCGGACCGUCUCUGCACACGACGCCGGCCUCGGACAAACGCACGCGCUGGGACCGGGGCCGAAUCCAGGAGCUCCACCAGCACCGGCGGCCCAACACCAGGGGACUGCUUCGAGUUUGACUUGACUGCUGGUUUUCCAACCCUCCUUUCCCCAGACACACCUUAAUGCCGCUCGCUGCUCAAGCUAAACAGCCGGGAGCGUUAGAAAAGCAGCAGGGACACCUACACAGAACCUAAAGAACCAACUGUCUGGACCGUGUACUGGACCCUCUGACACACUGGCCUUGUUGCAUUUGGGCCAAGUGCUGCGUGACCUCGGAUCCCUGGCAACAUCCAUCAGCUUUGUUGGAUGUUGCAUCAUGUUCAGCUGCAUUUUGUAUAAUUACAGAGUUGGGACUCGGAUCAGAUGUUUGGAGGUGAAUGGGAGGAGGUCGCUCCUCCUCCUCAUUCAUGUGUGAACUUGCUGCUCCUCUCUGCUCACCUCCUCUUUCCUUCUAGUUAUCGUCGCAUCUCUUCCUGCUCCUUCACGCCGUCCUUAUUUCACGUCCACCCUGGUUCUGUCUGUCCCUCAUCCACACCUCCUCAUCGCUGCGCUCAUUCAGCGCCUCUGUUCCCCAUUUCUCCUCUCUCCUCCCUCUUCGUGUCUCUUCUCCCUAUUGUUCUUUUCUCUUCCACGCUUCACUUUCUCCAGAUCUCCUCCAUCUCUCCUUUUGUUUUCUCCUCUUCCCUCUGGCCCCAUUGUUCGCUGCUCUUGUUUAUUUGGUUUACUCCUACUCCCAAUCUUUUAGUUUCUGUCCUUCACUACUUUCCUCCUCAGUAAUGAGACAAAGCCGUUCCCUCGUCAUUGUUUAACUGUCUUUUGUUCGUGUCUGUUCUUCUGCGAGUCAAUAAAUCUCCACUCGCCUCCUUCAGUUCAGUGUUUGUCUGAGGACAAAGACAUUGUUCUGCUGAUGAAGUGAUCAGUUGAGUCUUUUCUAAGAAUCAGAAAAUGAAUUAAAGUCAAUAAAUCACAGUUUUCUUUCCACAGCAGCUAAUUGAGAAAUAGAGCUGUAGAUGCUGCUGAAUGAGCGGCAUGUGUUGUCGAAGUUUAACCUUUGACCCCUCUCGCCUCUGUGGUGUGAGGGGCGAGCUGAUGUUCAACCAUCCCGCAAGUCUGAUCAUUUAACUGUUUUAAAAGGGUGAUAACAAUAUAAAUAAAGACCUGAUUACAAUUCAUUAAAA